Long non-coding RNA from Erigeron canadensis, 758 nucleotides. RefSeq lists it as uncharacterized. The transcript is spliced from 2 exons. Lineage: Eukaryota; Viridiplantae; Streptophyta; Magnoliopsida; Asterales; Asteraceae. The record is from RefSeq and is a predicted model, not a curated record.
GAUCAUUCAACCAAAUAUACAUACACAAAUCGAUCUGUAAAUUGAUUUGUGAGAGAAAAAAAGGGAAUAAUUACUUUUGAGAAAAGUCAGUGGACUGAUUUUUGAGAAGGUGAACUGGUUGAAGGAUCAGAUUUGUGUUGGCUUAUUUCAUGACGUGGUUGGGUUAUUUCGACAGCAGACUUGUGGGGAUGGAGUUCUCUUCCCUGUGGUUCUUUCUCCAAACCUUACACUUGCUAAAACUGUUAAGUUAACCGAAGCCAUCAAAGUAAACAGAUCAUGGUUGGAUUCGCUACUCCCUCGAUCUGGUGCAGUUCUCUUCAGAGGAUUUGACGUUUUUUCUGCUUCUGACUUCAACGAAGUAGUUGAGUCAUCAGGGUAUGAGGACUUUAGCUAUAGCGUCUGUGGUGCAGGCUCCAGAACUAAAGAUGUUGGUCGUGUUUACAUAUGAAUAUAAUAUAUCGAUAUAUAGACCCAUCGAUUAACCAGAUCUGAUGUGGAGAUAAUGAAGAUGAUGAUGAUUGAGAUUGAAUUUAAAAUCACGAGCUAAAGCGAGUAGCACCAACAAGGAGGGUGGGGUGUAUGCGUUUUCCGGCCAGUAGCAACAACAAAGAGGGUGGGGGCGCCAGCGAGUUUGCGUAGCAACAAUCAGUUAAUGUGUCACUAGAUUUAGAGUUUGUGUAUGUAUAUUUGGUUAGCAACAAUCAAUUUACAGAUCGGUUUGUGUAUGUAUAUUUGGUUGAAUGAUCCAGAUUACGAGA